RNAcentral lists this ribosomal RNA (271 nucleotides) under Klebsiella pneumoniae. RNAcentral's name for it is "partial 23S ribosomal RNA". It matches the Rfam family "Bacterial large subunit ribosomal RNA", at positions 1639 to 1893 of the family's 2925-position model. The record is from RNAcentral. Lineage: Bacteria; Pseudomonadati; Pseudomonadota; Gammaproteobacteria; Enterobacterales; Enterobacteriaceae.
AAAUCGUACCCCAAACCGACACAGGUGGUCAGGUAGAGAAUACCAAGGCGCUUGAGAGAACUCGGGUGAAGGAACUAGGCAAAAUGGUGCCGUAACUUCGGGAGAAGGCACGCUGGUGUGUAGGUGAAGCCCCUGCGGGUGGAGCUGAGACCAGUCGAAGAUACCAGCUGGCUGCAACUGUUUAUUAAAAACACAGCACUGUGCAAACACGAAAGUGGACGUAUACGGUGUGACGCCUGCCCGGUGCCGGAAGGUUAAUUGAUGGGGUUAU